AAUGAACGUUGGCGGCGUGGAUUAGGCAUGCAAGUCGAGCGAGAACCUGCAAGGGGGACAGCGGCAAACGGGGUAGUAAUGUGUCGGAACGUGCCCUCUGGACGGGGAUAGCGGCGGGAAACUGCCGGUAAUACCCGAUGAACUCGAGCGAGCAAAGGUGUGAUUACGCCGGAGGAGCGGCCGACAUGGUAUUAGCUAGUUGGCGGGGUAACGGCCCACCAAGGCUGUGAUGCCUAGGGGAUGUGAGAGCAUGAUCCCCACCAUUGGGACUGAGACACUGCCCAGACACCUACGGGUGGCUGCAGUCGAGAAUCUUCGUCAAUGGGCGAAAGCCUGAACGAGCGACGCCGCGUGCGGGAUGAAGGCCCUUGGGUUGUAAACCGCUGUCGAGGGGGAUGAAGGCAUUCAGGUACUCCUGAAUGUUUGACAGAGCCCUGGAGGAAGCACGGGCUAAGUUCGUGCCAGCAGCCGCCGUAA
This 477-nucleotide ribosomal RNA is filed under the name uncultured bacterium. Its description in RNAcentral is "partial 16S ribosomal RNA". It matches the Rfam family "Bacterial small subunit ribosomal RNA", at positions 29 to 523 of the family's 1533-position model. The record is from RNAcentral.